AACGAACGCUGGCGGCAUGCCUAACACAUGCAAGUCGAACGAGACCUUCGGGUCUAGUGGCGCACGGGUGCGUAACGCGUGGGAACCUGCCCUUAGGUUCGGAAUAACUCCCCGAAAGGGGUGCUAAUACCGGAUAAUGUCUUCGGACCAAAGAUUUAUCGCCUUUGGAUGGGCCCGCGUUGGAUUAGCUAGUUGGUAGGGUAAAAGCCUACCAAGGCGACGAUCCAUAGCUGGUCUGAGAGGAUGACCAGCCACACUGGGACUGAGACACGGCCCAGACUCCUACGGGAGGCAGCAGUGGGGAAUAUUGGACAAUGGGCGAUAGCCUGAUCCAGCAAUGCCGCGUGAGUGAUGAAGGCCUUAGGGUUGUAAAGCUCUUUUACCCGGGAUGAUAAUGACAGUACCGGGAGAAUAAGCUCCGGCUAACUCCGUG
Molecule: ribosomal RNA, 433 nt
Filed under: uncultured bacterium
Lineage: Bacteria
Description: partial 16S ribosomal RNA
Rfam family: Bacterial small subunit ribosomal RNA
Source: RNAcentral